RNAcentral lists this long non-coding RNA (1174 nucleotides) under Pan troglodytes (chimpanzee). RNAcentral's name for it is "long non-coding RNA NONPTRT004140". The record is from RNAcentral. Lineage: Eukaryota; Metazoa; Chordata; Mammalia; Primates; Hominidae.
AAAAGAAAUAUAAGAAGGUCGUCUCAGAUGAUGCCCUGAUGCACUGGUUAGAUCAGUAUAAUUCAUCUGCAGAUACUUGUACUCAUGCUUAUUGGGCGCGGCAAUUGCAAAAAAGCAAGCUUGGGGCUAGUUUGUGAAAUAGGUCUUCGUUGCCGUACAUAUUAUGUAUUAUGUGGUUCAGUGCUGAGUGUCUGGACAAAAGUUGAGGGUGUUCUAGCAUCUGUCAGUGGCACAAACGUGAAGAUGCAGAUCGUGCGGCUAAGAACGGAAGAUGGGCAACGGAUUGUAGGUUUGAUCAUUCCGGCAAAUUGUGUGUCUCCUCUUGUAAAUCUCCUAUCAACUUCAGACCAGUCUCAACAGCUUGCGGUCCAACAGAAACAGCUAUGGCAACAGCAUCACCCUCAGAGCAUCACCAACUUGAGCAACGCAUGAAGAACAGACAGGUUUCAACAUGGAUGGAUCUGAAAUGCUGUUGAAGCAUAUCAUUUGCAUAAAAAUCAGGGACAGUUUCCAAAGAAUUAUAUAUUUUUUUCAGUUGUGCUCUCUAGUUAGUUUUUUUGGGAGUAAGGACAAACCUGGAAUAGAUAGCAAAACUGAAAAUCAGCAGUGCUGAUGGUGGUACAUAUGUCUUUCCUUUAGCUUCUCCCCUGAUAAUUCCCAUCUGCUUUUACUUUGGGUGAGCAGAGGGGGAUGUGUGCGUGCGUGUGUGUCAGUCUGUUUGUGAGUAUGUUAAAGGCUACAGACCACAGUUGGUUUAAAAUGCUUGGAACUUCCCAAACUGGCUUUACUUUAUGUUUAUACAGUGCUCAGGGUUAACGCAGUACAUCCAUGCCAUUGCUGUGGGAGGUAUCCCCGGAUGCAUGUGUUUUGAGUCUAUAAAUAUAGAAAAUAUAUAUUGGUUUCUUUCUCCAACUUAGUAGGUUUAUUAAAGCAUGAAAUGAAAGGUUGCAUAUCAUGCAUUCAGGUUAUUUUCUAAUUUUUGUUCUGACAGUGCAUGUCUUUGGAAGCAUGCUGAAACAAGAUUAACACAGGAGUCGAGUAACAGAGAGAAAUAUUUGUUAGAUGUACAGCAUUGGUUAUUGCAUUUUUAUAGUGUUUAUACCUGGGUAUUGCUUCAAACCCUGCAGACCCCUCCUUCCCCUUCUCCCUGCCCUGGGUUUCUGGUCAAGGUAAU